UACGAAGGGGGCUAGCGUUGUUCGGAUUUACUGGGCGUAAAGCGCACGUAGGCGGUUUGUUAAGUCAGAGGUGAAAUCCCGGAGCUCAACUCCGGAACUGCCUUUUGAUACUGGCAAGCUAGAGUCCGGAAGAGGUAAGUGGAACUCCUAGUGUAGAGGUGGAAUUCGUAGAUAUUAGGAAGAACACCAGUGGCGAAGGCGGCUUACUGGUCCGGAACUGACGCUGAGGUGCGAAAGCGUGGGGGAGCAAAACAGG
Molecule: ribosomal RNA, 256 nt
Filed under: uncultured bacterium
Lineage: Bacteria
Description: partial 16S ribosomal RNA
Rfam family: Bacterial small subunit ribosomal RNA
Source: RNAcentral